CCUGGGAAACUGGGUUCUAAUACCGGAUAGGACCCUCCUUUUAGUGUGGGGGGUGGAAAGAUUUUUCGGUGUGGGAUGAGCCCGCGGCCUAUCAGCUUGUUGGUGGGGUAAUGGCCUACCAAGGCGUCGACGGGUAGCCGGCCUGAGAGGGUGGACGGCCACAUUGGGACUGAGAUACGGCCCAGACUCCUACGGGAGGCAGCAGUGGGGAAUAUUGCACAAUGGGCGGAAGCCUGAUGCAGCGACGCCGCGUGGGGGAUGACGGCCUUCGGGUUGUAAACCUCUUUCGACAGGGACGAAGCCUUGUAGGUGACGGUACCUGUAUAAGAAGCACCGGCUAACUACGUGCCAGCAGCCGCGGUAAUACGUAGGGUGCGAGCGUUGUCCGGAAUUACUGGGCGUAAAGAGCUCGUAGGUGGUUUGUCGCGUCGUCUGUGAAAUUCCGGGGCUUAACCUCGGGCGUGCAGGCGAUACGGGCAAUACUUGAGUGCUGUAGGGGAGACUGGAAUUCCUGGUGUAGCGGUGAAAUGCGCAGAUAUCAGGAGGAACACCGAUGGCGAAGGCAGGUCUCUGGGCAGUAACUGACGCUGAGGAGCGAAAGCAUGGGUAGCGAACAGGAUUAGAUACCCUGGUAGUCCAUGCCGUAAACGGUGGGCGCUAGGUGUAGGGGUCUUCCACGACUUCUGUGCCGUAGCUAACGCAUUAAG
RNAcentral lists this ribosomal RNA (707 nucleotides) under uncultured bacterium. Its description in RNAcentral is "bacterial SSU rRNA". It matches the Rfam family "Bacterial small subunit ribosomal RNA", at positions 148 to 864 of the family's 1533-position model. The record is from RNAcentral.